UUUUAGAGAAUCCAUAGAAUAUGAGAAGACCUUAAAAUGCUGCCGGUUUUAGCCAAAAAAUUCAUAGAUCUUACUCGAACGGCCGGAGGUGGCCGAAAAAUGGUGUGACAGACCAUGGGUAGGAGUUGAACCGCUAUAGGUUUACAUGAGGACCUCAGGGUGAUGUCAAACCAGCAUGGGGUGAAGCAGAGGCCAGUAGAUGAUGAGAGGCCAAGGUUUCCGACGAGGGAGGUAGCCGUAGAAGGUGGAAAGAGUCUAUCGGAGAGACAUGGAAAAGAGAAGGUUCUAGAGAGAACCAGAGAUAGAGAGACC
This 312-nucleotide long non-coding RNA is filed under the name Nicotiana benthamiana. RNAcentral describes it as "long non-coding RNA (NBEN_LNC020140)". The record is from RNAcentral. Lineage: Eukaryota; Viridiplantae; Streptophyta; Magnoliopsida; Solanales; Solanaceae.